Molecule: non-coding RNA, 27 nt
Filed under: Homo sapiens (human)
Lineage: Eukaryota; Metazoa; Chordata; Mammalia; Primates; Hominidae
Source: RNAcentral
UGCCCGCUGACCAAGGAUCACUGUGGC